GAUGAACGCUAGCUACAGGCUUAACACAUGCAAGUCGAGGGGCAGCAUGACGAGAGCUUGCUCUUGUUGAUGGCGACCGGCGGAAGGGUGCGUAACGCGUGAGCAACAUGCCCGUGGCAGGGGGAUAAGCGAUGGAAACGUCGUCUAAGACCCCGUAACAACAGAGUUCGCAUGGACUUUGUUUGAAAGCUUCGGCGGCCACGGAUUGGCUCGCGUCCCAUUAGGCAGUUGGCGGGGUAACGGCCCACCAAACCGACGAUGGGUAGGGGUUCUGAGAGGAAGGUCCCCCACAAUGGAACUGAGACACGGUCCAUACUCC
RNAcentral lists this ribosomal RNA (319 nucleotides) under uncultured Bacteroidales bacterium. RNAcentral's name for it is "bacterial SSU rRNA". It matches the Rfam family "Bacterial small subunit ribosomal RNA", at positions 28 to 339 of the family's 1533-position model. Lineage: Bacteria; Pseudomonadati; Bacteroidota; Bacteroidia; Bacteroidales. The record is from RNAcentral.